This 166-nucleotide ribosomal RNA is filed under the name uncultured bacterium. Its description in RNAcentral is "partial 16S rRNA". It matches the Rfam family "Bacterial small subunit ribosomal RNA", at positions 355 to 511 of the family's 1533-position model. The record is from RNAcentral.
UAGGGAAGUCUUCGGCAAUGGACGAAAGUCUGACCGAGCAACGCCGCGUGAGUGAAGAAGGUUUUCGGAUCGUAAAACUCUGUUGGUAGAGAAGAACGUUGGUGAGAGUGGAAAGCUCAUCAAGUGACGGUAACUACCCAGAAAGGGACGGCUAACUACGUGCUAG